GACGAACGCUGGCGGCGUGCUUAACACAUGCAAGUCGAACGGAAAGGCCUGCUUUCCCUUGUGGAUUGCGGGUACUCGAGUGGCGAACGGGUGAGUAACACGUGAGUGAUCUGCCCCCAACUUGGGUAUAAGCCUGGGAAACUGGGUCUAAUUCCCGAUAGGACUGCAGGGUGGUGCCUGUGGUGGAAAACGAUUUUCUAGUGGUUGGGGAUGAGCUCGCGGCCUAUCAGCUUGUUGGUGGGGUAAUGGCCUACCAAGGCGGCGACGGGUAGCCGGCCUGAGAGGGUGGACGGCCACAUUGGAACUGAGAUACGGCCCAGGCUCCUACGGGAGGCAGCAGUGGGGAAUAUUGCACAAUGGGCGGAAGCCUGAUGCAGCGACGCCGCGUGGGGGAUGACGGCCUUCGGGUUGUAAACUCCUUUCGACCGCGAGGAAGCCACCUGGUUGGAAGGGUGGUGACGGUAGUGGUAGAAGAAGCACCGGCUAACUACGUG
Molecule: ribosomal RNA, 494 nt
Filed under: uncultured bacterium
Lineage: Bacteria
Description: partial 16S ribosomal RNA
Rfam family: Bacterial small subunit ribosomal RNA
Source: RNAcentral